GACCCAGUAGCUCAGUUGGUAGAGCAGCACCCUUUUAAGGUGAUGGUCGCAGGUUCAAAUCCUGCCUGGGUCA
This 73-nucleotide transfer RNA is filed under the name Fidelibacterota bacterium. RNAcentral's name for it is "tRNA-Lys". It matches the Rfam family "tRNA". Rfam says of the family: Transfer RNA (tRNA) molecules are approximately 80 nucleotides in length. Their secondary structure includes four short double-helical elements and three loops (D, anti-codon, and T loops). Lineage: Bacteria; Pseudomonadati; Fidelibacterota. The record is from RNAcentral.